GCUGCUCGUAAUAAUCACACACCUCUCCGUGGUGAGCAGCAGGCAACGAUCUAUGAUCGGCGAAGAUGUGA
RNAcentral lists this ribozyme (71 nucleotides) under uncultured Clostridium sp. RNAcentral describes it as "HDV ribozyme from F. prausnitzii". It matches the Rfam family "HDV ribozyme from F. prausnitzii". Lineage: Bacteria; Bacillati; Bacillota; Clostridia; Eubacteriales; Clostridiaceae. The record is from RNAcentral.